This 57-nucleotide microRNA precursor is filed under the name Xenopus tropicalis (tropical clawed frog). Its description in RNAcentral is "Xtr-Mir-19-P2c_pre stem-loop". Lineage: Eukaryota; Metazoa; Chordata; Amphibia; Anura; Pipidae. The record is from RNAcentral.
AGUUUAGCUGGUUUGCAUCAGCUGACUAUUGUGCUGUGCAAAUCCAUGCAAAACUGA